RNAcentral lists this ribosomal RNA (1595 nucleotides) under Deraeocoris castaneae. Its description in RNAcentral is "SSU rRNA". It matches the Rfam family "Eukaryotic small subunit ribosomal RNA". The record is from RNAcentral. Lineage: Eukaryota; Metazoa; Arthropoda; Insecta; Hemiptera; Miridae.
UUGGGAGAGAUGCGGCAAACCGAUCACUAAUACAUGCAACCAAGUCCCGACUAGUCUGACUAGGAAGGACGCUUUUAUUAGAUCAAGACCAAUCGCUCGGCUCGUUCGGGCGUAGCCUUGGUGACUCUAGGUAACACAUCACAUCGCAUGGUCUCUGCACCGGCGACUUAUCCUUCAAAUGCCUGACUUAUCAACUGUCGAUGGUAGACUCUAUGUCUACCAUGGUUGUAACGGGUAACGGGGAAUCAGGGUUCGAUUCCGGAGAGGGAGCCUGAGAAACGGCUACCACAUCCAAGGAAGGCAGCAGGCACGCAAAUUACCCACUCCCGGCACGGGGAGGUAGUGACAAAAAAUAACGAUACGGGACUCUUAUGAGGCCCCGUAAUCGGAAUGAGUACACUUUAAAUCCUUUAACAAGGAUCCAUUGGAGGGCAAGUCUGGUGCCAGCAGCCGCGGUAAUUCCAGCUCCAAUAGCGUAUAUUAAAGUUGUUGCGGUUAAAAAGCUCGUAGUUGGUUCUGCGUGCUACGCUGUCGGUUCGCCGCCUGCCGGUGUAACUGGCAUGCCGUGGCAUGUCCUGUCGGUGGCGUGCGGGAGCCUCGUCUAUGCGUUUGGUCCUUGCCAAAAGCUUGGUACCAAAGGCCGGGGGUCCAACCCGUGCGCCUUCUCUAUCCUACCUAGGUGCUCUUCACCGAGUGUCGAGGUAGGCCGACACGUUUACUUUGAACAAAUUAGAGUGCUCAAAGCACGCUAAAAUUUCUGCCUGAAUAGUGGUGCAUGGAAUAAUAAAACAGGACCUUGGUUCUAUUUUGUUGGUUCUUAGGAACACAAGGUAAUGAUCAAUACGGACAGGCGGGGGCAUUCGUAUUGCGUCCUCCGAUGAGGCGGGGCCGGGAAACCAAAGCUUUUGGGCCCGGGGGAAGUAUGGUUGCAAAGCUGAAACUUAAAGGAAUUGACGGAAGGGCACCACCAGGAGUGGAGCCUGCGGCUUAAUUUGACUCAACACGGGAAACCUCACCAGGCCAGGACAUUGGAAGGAUUGACAGAUUGAUAGCUCUUUCUUGAUUCAGUGGGUAGUGGUGCAUGGCCGUUCUUAGUUGGUGGAUCGAUUUGUCUGGUUAAUUCCGAUAACGAACGAGACUCUAGCCUAUUAACUAGGCGUUUACCGGUGUCCUCGCCACCGGCGACACUCAUUCUUCUUAAGGGGACAGGCGGCUCAUAGCCGCACGAGAUUGAGCAAUAACAGGUCUGUAAUGCCCUUAGAUGUCCUGGGCCGCACGCGCGCUACACUGAAGGAAUCAGCGUGUGCCUCCCUGUCCGAAAGGACCGGGUAAUCCGCUGAACCUCCUGCGUGCUAGGAAUUGGGGCUUGCAAUUGUUCCCCAUGAACGAGGAAUUCCCAGUAAGCGCGAGUCAUAAGCUCGCGUUGAUUACGUCCCUGCCCUUUGUACACACCGCCCGUCGCUACUACCGAUUGAAUGAUUUAGUGAGGUCUUCGGACUGGCGGUAAUCCCUAUCGACUUGUCGGUAUCGAUGAACGCUGGAAAGAUGACCAAACUUGAUCAUUUAGAGGAAGUAAAAGUCGUAACAAGGUUUCC